CCAGCGGUGAUGAGCCUCUAACAUGUAAGAUGAAUCCUUAUUGGGUUUUCUUCAAUGAAAUCUAUUUGUUACGCUUGGCUUCUGAGCUUU
Lupinus angustifolius (narrow-leaved blue lupine) is the source of this 90-nucleotide non-coding RNA. The record is from Rfam. Lineage: Eukaryota; Viridiplantae; Streptophyta; Magnoliopsida; Fabales; Fabaceae.